Molecule: non-coding RNA, 24 nt
Filed under: Arabidopsis thaliana (thale cress)
Lineage: Eukaryota; Viridiplantae; Streptophyta; Magnoliopsida; Brassicales; Brassicaceae
Source: RNAcentral
UACUUUAGUUGCCAUUACGACAAA